AACUGUAUAGUGUACAUGUUAAUGAUAUGCCCAAAUCCUUAAUGCAGUUCUCAUCCUCCGCAUGCCCUCAGUUUGUGGUCACGUGACUUGAGUGUUCCUGAUGAUUCUGCCCACCUCCUGUGUUUGGACGUCUAGGGAGGAGGGUCGGGUUUUGAUGGUACCCUCCUCAUCCUCAUGCACAGAUAUGCUCAGGGUCCCCCUGUGUGCCUGGUAUCCAUCCCUCUCUUGUUUCCUAUUCCCUGUCUGAGCAUGUGGUCCCUCCUGGUUCUGUACCUUCUCUGCCUCCUCCCCAAGCUGUCAGAUAGCCUUCCUACUCAAAUCUAAAGCAGUAUUAAGAUCAUUACUGCAUGUGCACUAAAAACCCAAGUUUUCUGUUCCCUUGGGGCAGAAAAUUGCAUGUGAGGUGGAAUAAUCAAGUUUCAAUGACCUAUGUCAGUUGCACAACAAAGCCAGACCCCAGAAUAAAAUUCCACAAAAUGGAAAUAAAACUCAAAUUUCUUUAGCACUGUGUAAAUAAAUCUGGAUGUGUUUAACUUUGUACUGGUAAUUUUCUGUAUAUUUGCAAUAUUUGGGUUAGAAAUAAAACAGACUGGACUUUAUUACCUGACCUACUAAAA
This 617-nucleotide long non-coding RNA is filed under the name Bos taurus (domestic cattle). RNAcentral describes it as "long non-coding RNA NONBTAT018237". The record is from RNAcentral. Lineage: Eukaryota; Metazoa; Chordata; Mammalia; Artiodactyla; Bovidae.